Molecule: long non-coding RNA, 1156 nt
Filed under: Chinchilla lanigera (long-tailed chinchilla)
Lineage: Eukaryota; Metazoa; Chordata; Mammalia; Rodentia; Chinchillidae
Description: lncRNA (ENSCLAG00000026784.1)
Source: RNAcentral
GAGAAAGUGACAUUUGUACCAGACCUUGGAGGAUGAGGUCAGUAGGCAGAGAGGGGCUGAUGGCUAUUCCUAACAAAGAAUGCAACUCCAUCAAAAAAUAUAUGGAAGUCUAAGAUCUGGUUGGGCAAGUAUGAGCAGUGGUGUGGAGCUCAGCACAGGAGACUGAGAGGGGCCAGAAAGCCAUUUUUGAAGCACCUUGAGAGCCAUUGAAACUCCUGAGGCAGCUGUGGCCUUGGGUGCCCUGCAUAAGUGAUCUUUGACAGCUGGUCAUUAAGCUCCUGUUCAUCCUGAAUGCCUCUGGGCAGAUUCCCUCCAUUCAGACCUCCCCCUGUCCAGGAGGCCUGCCUUGGUCACCCUCCUCCCUUCUCCCCACGUGAGGUUAAGUUGUCUUCUCUGAGACCUGUCAGGAAGAGGAAACACAUUAACCCCAGCAAGACAGCGUGGCGCUUUUCCAAAAUGCUUUGAUUCUUCUACACAAAUGGGAUUAGAACAAAUAAAUUUUGGGAAGCAAGCUUCUACCAUUAUGUAAAUUUAAUUUCUCUUAUUUUGUCCCUUAUGUUUUAGAUUGCUGUAUUUUAUAGGAGCUGAGUCUGAGACAUUUUAAAAACUCUUAGAGAACAGGCAUCCAUUCCAUCUGCUUUAUUGAGUCCAUACAGUGUGCCAAGCAGGGGACAGAAGACCAGUCAGAGUCUGAGGAGGAACCCAGGUAGCUAAGAGAAGAAAUAGAUGAGUCAUUUUUUAUCUAUGAUAAUUCUAAGAGGUGAAGGGGACAGAGGCCAGCAGAGAACACAGAUGCAGCCGUGGUAAAGACGUUCAUCUGGUCACCCGCACCACCAGGCCCCUCUCUGGCCCCAGCUUCCUGGGCACAGAAUGUUGGGUCCCUUCCCAAGAGCUCUGCGUGUCCUUCAUCACUGGCUGUUCAUUGGAUGCCAGCAUAGCUACAGGACAGCCAGUCUCUGUAAAGCCCAGAGUCCUGGGGAGGUGGACUGUGCAAUGGAGCCUAAGUGGUUCUUCAUGGGGCCGGUCGGAAAGACAGCACAUACAACCAGGGACAAAUUGGUCACUGUGCUCAGUGGAGCAGGCAGACAACAGCAGGUGAGCACAGGAGGCCCCACUGAACGUAGUAGGUCAGUUUGAGGGAAGGUAAAGGUCCGUG